GGGGACGUGGCGGAAUGGUAGACGCAGCGGACUUAAAAUCCGCAUCCGCGAGGAGUGUGGGUUCGAGUCCCACCGUCCCUACCA
RNAcentral lists this transfer RNA (84 nucleotides) under Caulobacter sp. Its description in RNAcentral is "tRNA-Leu". It matches the Rfam family "tRNA". Rfam says of the family: Transfer RNA (tRNA) molecules are approximately 80 nucleotides in length. Their secondary structure includes four short double-helical elements and three loops (D, anti-codon, and T loops). The record is from RNAcentral. Lineage: Bacteria; Pseudomonadati; Pseudomonadota; Alphaproteobacteria; Caulobacterales; Caulobacteraceae. RNAcentral also lists the same sequence under 1 other name.